CCUACGGGCGGCAGCAGUGAGGAAUAUUGGUCAAUGGACGAGAGUCUGAACCAGCCAAGUAGCGUGAAGGAUGACUGCCCUAUGGGUUGUAAACUUCUUUUAUAUGGGAAUAAAAUGUUCCACGUGUGGGAUUUUGUAUGUACCAUAUGAAUAAGGAUCGGCUAACUCCGUGCCAGCAGCCGCGGUAAUACGGAGGAUCCGAGCGUUAUCCGGAUUUAUUGGGUUUAAAGGGAGCGUAGGUGGAUUGUUAAGUCAGUUGUGAAAGUUUGCGGCUCAACCGUAAAAUUGCAGUUGAAACUGGCAGUCUUGAGUACAGUAGAGGUGGGCGGAAUUCGUGGUGUAGCGGUGAAAUGCUUAGAUAUCACGAAGAACUCCGAUUGCGAAGGCAGUUCACUGGACUGCAACUGACACUGAGGCUCGAAAGUGUGGGUAUCAAACAGGAUUAUAUACCCGAGUAGUC
This 460-nucleotide ribosomal RNA is filed under the name uncultured bacterium. RNAcentral describes it as "partial 16S ribosomal RNA". It matches the Rfam family "Bacterial small subunit ribosomal RNA", at positions 338 to 795 of the family's 1533-position model. The record is from RNAcentral.